RNAcentral lists this ribosomal RNA (984 nucleotides) under uncultured bacterium. RNAcentral's name for it is "bacterial SSU rRNA". It matches the Rfam family "Bacterial small subunit ribosomal RNA". The record is from RNAcentral.
AAAGGCCNACCGAAGCGUCUACCUAGGGCAGCAUUNUCGGACUACUGGGUGUAAGGGAGNGNAGGCGUUUCGAUAAGAGGGCAGUGAAAANCAUGGGCUCAACCCAUGAACUUUUUUAAAACUGUUUUUCUUGAGUAGUGCAGAGGUAGAUGGAAUUCCCGGUGUAGCGGUGGAAUGCGUAGAUAUCGGGAGGAACACCAGUGGCGAAGGCGGUCUACUGGGCACCAACUGACGCUGAGGCUCGAAAGCAUGGGUAGCAAACAGGAUUAGAUACCCUGGUAGUCCAUGCCGUAAACGAUGAUUACUACGUGUUGGGGGAUUGACCCCCUCAGUGCCGCAGUUAACACAAUAAGUAAUCCACCUGGGGAGUACGACCGCAAGGUUGAAACUCAAAGGAAUUGACGGGGGCCCGCACAAGCAGUGGAGUAUGUGGUUUAAUUCGAAGCAACGCGAAGAACCUUACCAGGUCUUGACAUCCGAUGCAUAGCACAGAGAUGUGUGAAAUCCUUCGGGACAUCGAGACAGGUGGUGCAUGGUUGUCGUCAGCUCGUGUCGUGAGAUGUUGGGUUAAGUCCCGCAACGAGCGCAACCCUUAUUGCCAGUUACUACGUUAAGAGGACUCUGGCGAGACUGCCGUUGACAAAACGGAGGAAGGUGGGGAUGACGUCAAAUCAUCAUGCCCUUUAUGACCUGGGCUACACACGUACUACAAUGGCGUUAAACAAAGAGAAGCAAGACCGCGAGGUGGAGCAAAACUCAAAAACAACGUCUCAGUUCAGAUUGCAGGCUGCAACUCGCCUGCAUGAAGUCGGAAUUGCUAGUAAUCGCGGAUCAGCAUGCCGCGGUGAAUACGUUCCCGGGCCUUGUACACACCGCCCGUCACACCAUGAGAGCCGGGGGGACCCGAAGUCGAUAGUCUAACCGCAAGGAGGACGUCGCCGAAGGUAAAACUGGUGAUUGGGGUGAAGGGGUAACAAGGUAGCC